GACGAACGCUGGCGGCGUGCUUAACACAUGCAAGUCGAACGGAAAGGCCCUGCUUUUGUGGGGUGCUCGAGUGGCGAACGGGUGAGUAACACGUGAGUAACCUGCCCUUGACUUUGGGAUAACUUCAGGAAACUGGGGCUAAUACUGGAUAGGAGCUCCUGCUGCAUGGUGGGGGUUGGAAAGUUUCGGCGGUUGGGGAUGGACUCGCGGCUUAUCAGCUUGUUGGUGGGGUAGUGGCUUACCAAGGCUUUGACGGGUAGCCGGCCUGAGAGGGUGACCGGCCACAUUGGGACUGAGAUACGGCCCAGACUCCUACGGGAGGCAGCAGUGGGGAAUAUUGCACAAUGGGCGGAAGCCUGAUGCAGCAACGCCGCGUGCGGGAUGACGGCCUUCGGGUUGUAAACCGCUUUCGCCUGUGACGAAGCGUGAGUGACGGUAAUGGGUAAAGAAGCACCGGCUAACUACGUGCCAGCAGCCGCGGUGAUACGUAGGGUGCGAGCGUUGUCCGGAUUUAUUGGGCGUAAAGGGCUCGUAGGUGGUUGAUCGCGUCGGAAGUGUAAUCUUGGGGCUUAACCCUGAGCGUGCUUUCGAUACGGGUUGACUUGAGGAAGGUAGGGGAGAAUGGAAUUCCUGGUGGAGCGGUGGAAUGCGCAGAUAUCAGGAGGAACACCAGUGGCGAAGGCGGUUCUCUGGGCCUUUCCUGACGCUGAGGAGCGAAAGCGUGGGGAGCGAACAGGCUUAGAUACCCUGGUAGUCCACGCUGUAAACGGUGGGUACUAGGUGUGGGGUCCAUUCCACGGGUUCCGUGCCGUAGCUAACGCUUUAAGUACCCCGCCUGGGGAGUACGGCCGCAAGGCUAAAACUCAAAGGAAUUGACGGGGCCCCGCACAAGCGGCGGAGCAUGCGGAUUAGUUCGAUGCAACGCGUAGAACCUUACCUGGGUUUGACAUGGAUCGGGAGCGCUCAGAGAUGGGUGUGCCUCUUUUGGGGUCGGUUCACAGGUGGUGCAUGGCUGUCGUCAGCUCGUGUCGUGAGAUGUUGGGUUAAGUCCCGCAACGAGCGCAACCCUUGUUCACUGUUGCCAGCACGUUAUGGUGGGGACUCAGUGGAGACCGCCGGGGUCAACUCGGAGGAAGGUGGGGAUGACGUCAAGUCAUCAUGCCCCUUAUGUCCAGGGCUUCACGCAUGCUACAAUGGCUGGUACAGAGAGUGGCGAGCCUGUGAGGGUGAGCGAAUCUCGGAAAGCCGGUCUCAGUUCGGAUUGGGGUCUGCAACUCGACCUCAUGAAGUCGGAGUCGCUAGUAAUCGCAGAUCAGCAACGCUGCGGUGAAUACGUUCCCGGG
Molecule: ribosomal RNA, 1343 nt
Filed under: uncultured bacterium
Lineage: Bacteria
Description: 16S ribosomal RNA
Rfam family: Bacterial small subunit ribosomal RNA
Source: RNAcentral